ACACUGACGUCGCGAUGCAUAUCAAUAAGCGGAGGAAAAGAAACUAACUAGGAUUCCCUUAGUAACGGCGAGUGAAGCGGGAAGAGCUCAAAUUUGAAAUCUUCAAGGUUCUACCUUGACGAAUUGUAGUUUAAAGAAGUGUUUUCUGUUGGAGUUUUGGUAAAAGUUCUUUGGAAUAGGACAUCAUAGAGGGUGAGAAUCCCGUAUUUGACCAUUAUUUCCAACUUUGUGAUACACUUUCAAAGAGUCGGAUUGUUUGGGAAUGCAGUCCAAAAUGGGUGGUAAAUUUCAUCUAAAGCUAAAUACUGGCGAGAGACCGAUAGCGAACAAGUACCGUGAGGGAAAGAUGAAAAGAACUUUGAAAAGAGAGUUAAACAGUACGUGAAAUUGUCAAAAGGGAAGCGUUUGACACCAGUGUUGUUUUCUCGAAAAUCAAUUAAAAAUGACCGGAUUUUGUGUUGUAUUGACUUUAUCAGCUUUCUGCACUUUUUUCUUGUCUUUUUUAAUGCACUUUUCGUUUAACAAGUCAACAUCAAUUUCUUUUGCUGUAAAAGGGUCAUUGGAAGGUGGCUUUCAUUUCGGUGAAAGUGUUUAUAGCCUUUGACUUCUGCAAUCGGAGAGAUUGAGGUCUGCAGCGUAGAUCCUUCGGGGUUAGAUACAUUUGUGCUAAGUUAUAGUUUUUCGUAGACAACAUGUUGACUAUGAUUAAUCAUGUAGCUUACUCGCUUAUGCUAUUUUACCUACGCUUAGGAUGUUGACGCGCGUGUGUGCGUG
Molecule: ribosomal RNA, 774 nt
Filed under: uncultured Neocallimastigales
Lineage: Eukaryota; Fungi; Neocallimastigomycota; Neocallimastigomycetes; Neocallimastigales
Description: partial large subunit ribosomal RNA
Rfam family: Eukaryotic large subunit ribosomal RNA
Source: RNAcentral